GGGUUGUGAGGUUAAGCGACCAAGCGUACACGGUGGAUGCCCUGGCAGUCAGAGGCGAUGAAGGACGUGCUAAUCUGCGAUAAGCGCCGGUAAGGUGAUAUGAACCGUUAUAACCGGCGAUUUCCGAAUGGGGAAACCCAGUGUGAUUCGUCACACUAUCAUUAACUGAAUCCAUAGGUUAAUGAGGCGAACCGGGGGAACUGAAACAUCUAAGUACCCCGAGGAAAAGAAAUCAACCGAGAUUCCCCCAGUAGCGGCGAGCGAACGGGGAGGAGCCCAGAGCCUGAAUCAGCAUGUGUGUUAGUGGAAGCGUCUGGAAAGGCGCGCGAUACAGGGUGACA
RNAcentral lists this ribosomal RNA (341 nucleotides) under Salmonella enterica. RNAcentral describes it as "partial 23S ribosomal RNA". It matches the Rfam family "Bacterial large subunit ribosomal RNA", at positions 1 to 369 of the family's 2925-position model. RNAcentral also lists the same sequence under 1 other name. The record is from RNAcentral. Lineage: Bacteria; Pseudomonadati; Pseudomonadota; Gammaproteobacteria; Enterobacterales; Enterobacteriaceae.